Molecule: long non-coding RNA, 1483 nt
Filed under: Equus caballus (horse)
Lineage: Eukaryota; Metazoa; Chordata; Mammalia; Perissodactyla; Equidae
Description: lncRNA (ENSECAG00000048529.1)
Source: RNAcentral
UUGUUUCAAGUGGAGGGGUAAAUCCAGUCCCUGUGACUCCAGCUUGUCCAGAAGUGAAAGUCCCAUUGGUCCAUGUAUCACAGCAGAAGGGAUACACAGGUGUUCAAUCCGAAGAGCCUUUUUGGUGAACUGUCCAGGUGACAGGAUCUAGAAGGAAGAAUAGAACGCUGGGCAGGAUUGUUGAGAGAAUUUGCAAUAACAUACGCAAAGCACCUGUUACAUGACUUGGAAUCAAACAUUCCAGAGUGAAAUCUAGUCUCCACCACUUAUUAGCUGAGUGAAUUGAUAGAAGCGACAAAACUAUCUCUGAGCCUCCAUUUGUUUAGCUGCAAAUUGAGGAUAAUUCAUCUUAUCUCACGAGUGGUCAUUAGAAUUAAAUAAAUACCAAUUGAACGAGAAUGGAAAAGGCCCUAUUGAGCUUACAUCCAUCCACAUGUUUCUUUUUUAUGUUUUUCCUGAGGAAGAGUCGCCCUGAACUAACAUUCACACCAAUCCUCCUUUAUUCUUUUGUUUGUAUGUGGGAUGCCUCCACAGUGUGGUGUCCCACCACCAGAGUGGAGUGGGUCCGUGCCCAGGAUCCAAACCCGUGAACCUAGGCCGCCAAAGUGGAGCAUGCAGAACUUUUGCCACUUGGCCACAAGCCAGUCCCUUUUUCUUUCUUUUAAUAAACAGUUUAAAGAUAUUUAUUUAUAACCUUAAAAAUACAUUGCUUAGCUCUGCAUUUUUUAAUGUUAAACAAAUUGAAUAUAGGAGGUGUACUUUAGUCAUUCUAUUUUUUGCUCAACAGCAUGUUCUUAAGCUUCACCCAUAAGGUAAUUAUUUUUUUAUUAUUUAUUUAUUUAUUUUUUUUGGUGAGGAAGACUGGCCCUGAGUUAACAUCUGUUGCCAAUCUUCCUGCUUUUGCUUGAGGAAGAUUGUCCCUGAGCUAACAUCUGUGUCAGUCUUCCUUUAUUGUGUAUGUUGGAUGCCACCACAGCAAGGCUUGAUGAGUGGUAUGUAAGUCUGCACCUGGGAUCUGAACCAGUGAACCCUGGGCUGCAGAAGCGGAGUGUAAGAACGUAACCACUAUGCUGCUGGACCAGACCCAGAUGAAUAGAACGGAUCAUAGCAAGCAAUCUUCCUGGUCUCCAAACAAAACUGUCAAGCUUUCACCAUUCAGGAUGAGGUUUACUGAAGAUUAGCCCUGAGCUAACAUCUGCCGCCAAUCCUCCUCUUUCUGCUGAGGAAGACUGGCCCUGAGCUAACAUCCGUGCCCGUCUUCCUCUACUUUAUAUAUGGGAUGCCUACCACAGCAUGGCUUGCCAAACAGUGCCAUGUCCACAUGUGGGAUCCAAACCAGCGAACCCCCAGCCGCCGAAGCGGAACAUGUGAACUUAACUGCUGCACCACCGGGCUGGCCCCUGCCCCACCCAAUAUCUUGUGUUGGUUGCUCAGGUCAUUCAUUAUGAGGCUUUCUUUUUUUCUAGUAUAAGUAUUUAAAUGA